Molecule: ribosomal RNA, 2712 nt
Filed under: Klebsiella pneumoniae
Lineage: Bacteria; Pseudomonadati; Pseudomonadota; Gammaproteobacteria; Enterobacterales; Enterobacteriaceae
Description: bacterial LSU rRNA
Rfam family: Bacterial large subunit ribosomal RNA
Source: RNAcentral
CCGGCGAUGUCCGAAUGGGGAAACCCAGUGCAAUUCGUUGCACUAUCGUUAACUGAAUACAUAGGUUAACGAGGCGAACCGGGGGAACUGAAACAUCUAAGUACCCCGAGGAAAAGAAAUCAACCGAGAUUCCCCCAGUAGCGGCGAGCGAACGGGGAGCAGCCCAGAGUCUGAAUCAGCUUGUGUGUUAGUGGAACGGUCUGGAAAGUCCGACGGUACAGGGUGAUAGUCCCGUACACCAAAAUGCACAGGCUGUGAACUCGAAGAGUAGGGCGGGACACGUGGUAUCCUGUCUGAAUAUGGGGGGACCAUCCUCCAAGGCUAAAUACUCCUGACUGACCGAUAGUGAACCAGUACCGUGAGGGAAAGGCGAAAAGAACCCCGGCGAGGGGAGUGAAAAAGAACCUGAAACCGUGUACGUACAAGCAGUGGGAGCACCUUCGGGUGUGACUGCGUACCUUUUGUAUAAUGGGUCAGCGACUUAUAUUCUGUAGCAAGGUUAACCGUAUAGGGGAGCCGCAGGGAAACCGAGUCUUAACUGGGCGUUAAGUUGCAGGGUAUAGACCCGAAACCCGGUGAUCUAGCCAUGGGCAGGUUGAAGGUUGGGUAACACUAACUGGAGGACCGAACCGACUAAUGUUGAAAAAUUAGCGGAUGACUUGUGGCUGGGGGUGAAAGGCCAAUCAAACCGGGAGAUAGCUGGUUCUCCCCGAAAGCUAUUUAGGUAGCGCCUCGUGAAUUCAUCUUCGGGGGUAGAGCACUGUUUCGGCUAGGGGGUCAUCCCGACUUACCAACCCGAUGCAAACUACGAAUACCGAAGAAUGUUAUCACGGGAGACACACGGCGGGUGCUAACGUCCGUCGUGAAGAGGGAAACAACCCAGACCGCCAGCUAAGGUCCCAAAGUCAUGGUUAAGUGGGAAACGAUGUGGGAAGGCACAGACAGCCAGGAUGUUGGCUUAGAAGCAGCCAUCAUUUAAAGAAAGCGUAAUAGCUCACUGGUCGAGUCGGCCUGCGCGGAAGAUGUAACGGGGCUAAACCAUGCACCGAAGCUGCGGCAGCGACACUAUGUGUUGUUGGGUAGGGGAGCGUUCUGUAAGCCUGCGAAGGUGACCUGUGAGGGUUGCUGGAGGUAUCAGAAGUGCGAAUGCUGACAUAAGUAACGAUAAAGCGGGUGAAAAGCCCGCUCGCCGGAAGACCAAGGGUUCCUGUCCAACGUUAAUCGGGGCAGGGUGAGUCGACCCCUAAGGCGAGGCCGAAAGGCGUAGUCGAUGGGAAACAGGUUAAUAUUCCUGUACUUGGUGUUACUGCGAAGGGGGGACGGAGAAGGCUAUGUUAGCCGGGCGACGGUUGUCCCGGUUUAAGCAUGUAGGCUGGUUAUCCAGGCAAAUCCGGAUAAUCAAGGCUGAGGUGUGAUGACGAGGCACUACGGUGCUGAAGUAACAAAUGCCCUGCUUCCAGGAAAAGCCUCUAAGCAUCAGGUAACAUCAAAUCGUACCCCAAACCGACACAGGUGGUCAGGUAGAGAAUACCAAGGCGCUUGAGAGAACUCGGGUGAAGGAACUAGGCAAAAUGGUGCCGUAACUUCGGGAGAAGGCACGCUGGUGUGUAGGUGAAGUCCCUGCGGAUGGAGCUGAGACCAGUCGAAGAUACCAGCUGGCUGCAACUGUUUAUUAAAAACACAGCACUGUGCAAACACGAAAGUGGACGUAUACGGUGUGACGCCUGCCCGGUGCCGGAAGGUUAAUUGAUGGGGUUAUCCGUAAGGAGAAGCUCUUGAUCGAAGCCCCGGUAAACGGCGGCCGUAACUAUAACGGUCCUAAGGUAGCGAAAUUCCUUGUCGGGUAAGUUCCGACCUGCACGAAUGGCGUAAUGAUGGCCAGGCUGUCUCCACCCGAGACUCAGUGAAAUUGAACUCGCUGUGAAGAUGCAGUGUACCCGCGGCAAGACGGAAAGACCCCGUGAACCUUUACUAUAGCUUGACACUGAACAUUGAGCCUUGAUGUGUAGGAUAGGUGGGAGGCUUUGAAGCGUGGACGCCAGUCUGCGUGGAGCCGACCUUGAAAUACCACCCUUUAAUGUUUGAUGUUCUAACGUUGGCCCCUGACCGGGGUUGCGGACAGUGUCUGGUGGGUAGUUUGACUGGGGCGGUCUCCUCCCAAAGCGUAACGGAGGAGCACGAAGGUUAGCUAAUCCUGGUCGGACAUCAGGAGGUUAGUGCAAUGGCAUAAGCUAGCUUGACUGCGAGCGUGACGGCGCGAGCAGGUGCGAAAGCAGGUCAUAGUGAUCCGGUGGUUCUGAAUGGAAGGGCCAUCGCUCAACGGAUAAAAGGUACUCCGGGGAUAACAGGCUGAUACCGCCCAAGAGUUCAUAUCGACGGCGGUGUUUGGCACCUCGAUGUCGGCUCAUCACAUCCUGGGGCUGAAGUAGGUCCCAAGGGUAUGGCUGUUCGCCAUUUAAAGUGGUACGCGAGCUGGGUUUAGAACGUCGUGAGACAGUUCGGUCCCUAUCUGCCGUGGGCGCUGGAGAAUUGAGGGGGGCUGCUCCUAGUACGAGAGGACCGGAGUGGACGCAUCACUGGUGUUCGGGUUGUCAUGCCAAUGGCACUGCCCGGUAGCUAAAUGCGGAAGAGAUAAGUGCUGAAAGCAUCUAAGCACGAAACUUGCCCCGAGAUGAGUUCUCCCUGAGACUUUAAGUCUCCUGAAGGAACGUU